This 81-nucleotide transfer RNA is filed under the name freshwater metagenome. RNAcentral describes it as "tRNA-Trp". The record is from RNAcentral.
AAAAAAAUGGCUAAAGGUAAAGCUGCGAAAAUUCCAAAUUUUCGAACUUUAUGUCCUGUGUUCACAUUCUUACCUUUGUUC